This 396-nucleotide ribosomal RNA is filed under the name uncultured bacterium. Its description in RNAcentral is "bacterial SSU rRNA". It matches the Rfam family "Bacterial small subunit ribosomal RNA", at positions 355 to 768 of the family's 1533-position model. The record is from RNAcentral.
UCGGGAAUUUUGGGCAAUGGGCGAAAGCCUGACCCAGCAACGCCGCGUGAAGGAUGAAGUAUUUCGGUAUGUAAACUUCGAAAGAAUAGGAAGAAUAAAUGACGGUACUAUUUAUAAGGUCCGGCUAACUACGUGCCAGCAGCCGCGGUAAUACGUAGGGACCAAGCGUUGUUCGGAUUUACUGGGCGUAAAGGGCGCGUAGGCGGCAAUUCAAGUCAUCUGUGAAAUCUCCGGGCUUAACUCGGAACGGUCAGAUGAUACUGCUUUGCUAGAGUGCAGAAGGGGCAAUCGGAAUUCUUGGUGUAGCGGUGAAAUGCGUAGAUAUCAAGAGGAACACCUGAGGUGAAGACGGGUUGCUGGGCUGACACUGACGCUGAGGCGCGAAAGCCAGGGGAG